ACGGUUACGAUGUCGAUUUGGAGGUUGUGCCCUUGAGGCGUGGCUUCCGAAGCUAACGCGUUAAAUCGACCGCCUGGGGAGUACGGCCGCAAGGUUAAAACUCAAAUGAAUUGACGGGGGCCCGCACAAGCGGUGGAGCAUGUGGUUUAAUUCGAUGCAACGCGAAGAACCUUACCUACUCUUGACAUCCAGCGAAUCCUGUAGAGAUACGGGAGUGCCUUCGGGAACGCUGAGACAGGUGCUGCAUGGCUGUCGUCAGCUCGUGUUGUGAAAUGUUGGGUUAAGUCCCGCAACGAGCGCAACCCUUAUCCUUUGUUGCCAGCGGUUCGGCCGGGAACUCAAAGGAGACUGCCAGUGAUAAACUGGAGGAAGGUGGGGAUGACGUCAAGUCAUCAUGGCCCUUACGAGUAGGGCUACACACGUGCUACAAUGGCGUAUACAAAGAGAAGCGAACUCGCGAGAGCAAGCGGACCUCAUAAAGUACGUCGUAGUCCGGAUUGGAGUCUGCAACUCGACUCCAUGAAGUCGGAAUCGCUAGUAAUCGUGGAUCAGAAUGCCACGGUGAAUACGUUCCCGGGCCUUGUACACACCGCCCGUCACACCAUGGGAGUGGGUUGCAAAAGAAGUAGGUAGCUUAACC
RNAcentral lists this ribosomal RNA (640 nucleotides) under Edwardsiella tarda. RNAcentral describes it as "bacterial SSU rRNA". It matches the Rfam family "Bacterial small subunit ribosomal RNA", at positions 800 to 1440 of the family's 1533-position model. The record is from RNAcentral. Lineage: Bacteria; Pseudomonadati; Pseudomonadota; Gammaproteobacteria; Enterobacterales; Hafniaceae.